Molecule: long non-coding RNA, 133 nt
Organism: Nematolebias whitei (Rio pearlfish)
Lineage: Eukaryota; Metazoa; Chordata; Actinopteri; Cyprinodontiformes; Rivulidae
Exons: 3
Source: RefSeq, a predicted model, not a curated record
GUCUCAAAACUAAUCCUAUGGCUCAGGUCUGUUGAGCCAAAGUAAGGUAAGGUGAUUAGGUUCAGGGGAAGACUUUUUCUGCUCCGAGACCCCAGAGAACACUCAGAAACCCAAGAUCGGAAGAGCACACGUC